GCUGGGACUACAGGUGCUCACCACUGCGCCUGGCUAAUAUUUUGUAUUUUUAGUAGAGACGGGGUUUCACCAUAUUGAUCAGGCUGGUCUUGAACUCUUGACCUCAAGUGAUUCACCAGCCUUCCAAAGUGCUGGGAUUACAGGCGUGAGCCACUGCACCCAACCUGAAUGUUAAUUAAUUUAAAUUUCAAUAGUCAUGUAUGGGUAGUAGCUACCAUGCUGGAUAGCACAGUUCUAGAUCAAUUUUAAUAGACUGGGCAGCCCAUUGAGGAUCUUGGAUAUACGUAGUAGACUUAGUUCUACUUCCUCUCUUUUUGCAGGGUCUAUGCCUUGUCUCUUGUCCUAAUACUCUUGACCCCAGCACCAGCAUCUGUCUAGGCUCUAUAACCUCAAGCCACCAUAUAGUCAAUUGGAGUUGGCUUUACUUUCCUUCUGUGACUAAGCUCAGCUAUGUAGUGCAUAUUUUGCAACAUUGUGCUUGAGUAUUCAUACUGGAGAGGAAGGAUAAAUAUCAGCUCAGUCCACAGCUCCAGCUCUUGUGUACUUCUCAAGCCACUUGCCAUUGUUCUUCUGCUACCACUGCCCAUGGAGACUUCCAUUGCUAAUAGCAGCUCCACAGCACUGUAUUUAAUGGCUCCUUCUUAAUCCUAUCCUACAUGACUUGUAGAAAGCUUUGGCUUUGUUGACCAUUGCUUCCUUAAAGCAGUCUUUCCCUUGGCUUCUUUCAUAGUACCAAUUUUCUUUCUACUUAUAUUGAUCCUCCUUUCCAGGCUUCUUCUAGGACUUCUCUUAUUAUGCUCACACCCCCACUACCCUCAUUAUCAAUGGGGAAUCAGAUCUCAGUCUUUUUUUCUUUUUUUUUUUUUUUUUUGAGACAGAGUCUUGCUCUGUUGCCCCAGGCUGGAGUGCAAUGGUGCGAUCUCGGCUCACUACAGCCUCUGCCUUCUGGGUUCAAGUGAUUCUCCUGCCUGAGCCUCUGGAGUAGCUGGGAUUACAGGUGUGCGCCACCACACCCAGCUAAUUUUUGCAUUUUUAAUAGAGAUGUGGUUUCACCAUGUUGGUCAGGCUGAUCUCGAAAACCUGACCUCGUGAUCCGCCUGCUUCGGCCCCCCAAAGUGCUGGGAUUACAGGCGUGAGCCACCGCGCCUGGCCCAGAUCUCAGUUUUAUUUCUUUUCUCACUGUAUAUAUCUUCCCAGGGUGAUUUCAUUCCAAUUGAUGGCUUCAGGUAUAUUUUAUGAGCUGAUGACUCCCAAGUUUGUUGUCAUUUUUGAAGCAUUAACUGUUGUCAUACUUAUCUUUUUUUCUUUUUUCUUUUUUUUAUGGUGAGAACUUUGGUCUAUUUUUCUGGUGAAUAAUAUGUAGCAGGACUGGUACCAGAACCAGGUCAUCCAGAGAUGUUCUGUCUGCUGCCAUCAACUCGGGACCUCAGAAGGUGGUACUCCUCCCCUAAAGGUGAAUUAUUUUAGCUAAAAAAAAACAAAGAGAAAUCCUUAUUUCUAGAUGAAAUAAGAAUCAACAGGAAAUUCCAGGAGAUUUCAGUUACAUCAGUUGUUACAGUUGGUACAUAAUGAUGUAACAUCUGUUCCAAAGAAAACAGCAAGUAUGUAUUUAAUACACUUUUACGAAGUCCCCAUGUUUUC
RNAcentral lists this long non-coding RNA (1641 nucleotides) under Homo sapiens (human). Its description in RNAcentral is "HSALNT0046068". Lineage: Eukaryota; Metazoa; Chordata; Mammalia; Primates; Hominidae. The record is from RNAcentral.